UCAGCCACACUGGAACUGAGACACGGUCCAGACUCCUACGGGAGGCAGCAGUGGGGAAUAUUGCACAAUGGGCGCAAGCCUGAUGCAGCCAUGCCGCGUGUGUGAAGAAGGCCUUCGGGUUGUAAAGCACUUUCAGUCGUGAGGAAGGUAGUGUAGUUAAUAGCUGCAUUAUUUGACGUUAGCGACAGAAGAAGCACCGGCUAACUCCGUGCCAGCAGCCGCGGUAAUACGGAGGGUGCGAGCGUUAAUCGGAAUUACUGGGCGUAAAGCGCAUGCAGGUGGUUUGUUAAGUCAGAUGUGAAAGCCCGGGGCUCAACCUCGGAAUUGCAUUUGAAACUGGCAGACUAGAGUACUGUAGAGGGGGGUAGAAUUUCAGGUGUAGCGGUGAAAUGCGUAGAGAUCUGAAGGAAUACCGGUGGCGAAGGCGGCCCCCUGGACAGAUACUGACACUCAGAUGCGAAAGCGUGGGGAGCAAACAGGAUUAGAUACCCUGGUAGUCCACGCCGUAAACGAUGUCUACUUGGAGGUUGUGGCCUUGAGCCGUGGCUUUCGGAGCUAACGCGUUAAGUAGACCGCCUGGGGAGUACGGUCGCAAGAUUAAAACUCAAAUGAAUUGACGGGGGCCCGCACAAGCGGUGGAGCAUGUGGUUUAAUUCGAUGCAACGCGAAGAACCUUACCUACUCUUGACAUCCAGAGAACUUUCCAGAGAUGGAUUGGUGCCUUCGGGAACUCUGAGACAGGUGCUGCAUGGCUGUCGUCAGCUCGUGUUGUGAAAUGUUGGGUUAAGUCCCGCAACGAGCGCAACCCUUAUCCUUGUUUGCCAGCGAGUAAUGUCGGGAACUCCAGGGAGACUGCCGGUGAUAAACCGGAGGAAGGUGGGGACGACGUCAAGUCAUCAUGGCCCUUACGAGUAGGGCUACACACGUGCUACAAUGGCGCAUA
RNAcentral lists this ribosomal RNA (943 nucleotides) under Vibrio parahaemolyticus. RNAcentral describes it as "bacterial SSU rRNA". It matches the Rfam family "Bacterial small subunit ribosomal RNA", at positions 304 to 1239 of the family's 1533-position model. Lineage: Bacteria; Pseudomonadati; Pseudomonadota; Gammaproteobacteria; Vibrionales; Vibrionaceae. The record is from RNAcentral.